This 253-nucleotide ribosomal RNA is filed under the name uncultured bacterium. RNAcentral's name for it is "partial 16S ribosomal RNA". It matches the Rfam family "Bacterial small subunit ribosomal RNA", at positions 524 to 776 of the family's 1533-position model. The record is from RNAcentral.
UACGUAGGGUGCGAGCGUUAAUCGGAAUUACUGGGCGUAAAGCGUGCGCAGGCGGUUUUGUAAGCCAGAUGUGAAAGCCCCGGGCUCAACCUGGGAAUGGCAUUUGGGACUGCAAGGCUGGAGUAUGGCAGAGGAGACUAGAAUUCCUGGUGUAGCAGUGAAAUGCGUAGAUAUCAGGAGGAAUACCGAUGGCGAAGGCAGGUCUCUGGGCCUUACCUGACGCUGAGGCGCGAAAGCUAGGGGAGCAAACAGG